CCUACGGGAGGCUGCAGUGAGGAAUAUUGGUCAAUGGACGAGAGUCUGAACCAGCUAAGUAGCGUGAAGGAUGACUGCCCUAUGGGUUGUAAACUUCUUUUAUAAAGGAAUAAAACGAGGCACGUGUGCCUUUUUGCAUGUACUUUAUGAAUAAGGAUCGGCUAACUCCGUGCCAGCAGCCGCGGUAAUACGGAGGAUCCGAGCGUUAUCCGGAUUUAUUGGGUUUAAAGGGAGCGUAGAUGGGUUGUUAAGUCAGUUGUGAAAGUUUGCGGCUCAACCGUAAAAUUGCAAUUGAUACUGGCAGUCGUGAGUACAGUUGAGGUAGGCGGAAUUCGUGGUGUAGCGGUGAAAUGCUUAGAUAUCACGAAGAACCCCGAUUGCGAAGGCAGCUUACUAAACUGUGACUGACAUUGAUGCUCGAAAGUGUGGGUAUCAAACAGGAUUAGAUACCCUUGUAGUC
Molecule: ribosomal RNA, 460 nt
Filed under: uncultured bacterium
Lineage: Bacteria
Description: partial 16S ribosomal RNA
Rfam family: Bacterial small subunit ribosomal RNA
Source: RNAcentral